Molecule: ribosomal RNA, 460 nt
Filed under: uncultured bacterium
Lineage: Bacteria
Description: partial 16S ribosomal RNA
Rfam family: Bacterial small subunit ribosomal RNA
Source: RNAcentral
CCUACGGGAGGCAGCAGUGAGGAAUAUUGGUCAAUGGACGAGAGUCUGAACCAGCCAAGUAGCGUGAAGGAUGACUGCCCUAUGGGUUGUAAACUUCUUUUAUAUGGGAAUAAAAUGUUCCACGUGUGGGAUUUUGUAUGUACCAUAUGAAUAAGGAUCGGCUAACUCCGUGCCAGCAGCCGCGGUAAUACGGAGGAUCCGAGCGUUAUCCGGAUUUAUUGGGUUUAAAGGGUGCGUAGGUGGAUUGUUAAGUCAGUUGUGAAAGUUUGCGGCUCAACCGUAAAAUUGCGGUUGAAACUGGCAGUCUUGAGUACAGUAGAGGUGGGCGGAAUUCGUGGUGUAGCGGUGAAAUGCUUAGAUAUCACGAAGAACUCCGAUUGCGAAGGCAGUUCACUGGACUGCAACUGACACUGAGGCUCGAAAGUGUGGGUAUCAAACAGGAUUAGAUACCCUUGUAGUC